AAAGUUUUCUCCGCUAUCGGGUAGCGGAGUUGCCUUCGCCCUCCACCCUUCGCCCUCCGCCCUCCGCCCGAGGGUCUGUGACAAGUAGUCCAGGCGUAACUGCACUUCUUAUACCCUUAAGAAAAGGUGAGCAGUGCUCAGAAGAAGAGUCCGCAGGAGGGUGGGCCACAUUCUAGCCGCAGCGGCCAGGGCCCAAGGCAGCUGAGCGUGCACAGGAUACCAGGCGUGGGCUGCCUGCAGCAAAUUCUGCGACAGCGUUGUCAGGAGAGGUAAACCGAAUUACCGCUGCCCUUGCCUACAGCCUUCCAUAUGUAGCGAAAUUCUAGCUAAAUCUAUGGACAGUUGCGUUCAAGGACACUUUCUAAAAUUCAGUUAAAUACGCGCUCAAAGCAGCGUAAAAGGUGGCUUCGGAGCAUGUGUGUCAGAUGUAUUCCUGCCCAAGGCUCAGCACCUGCUCCUUUAGGAAACAUCUUUUGUGGCUGAUACGGUUUCUAGAGCAUGCUGUCGGAAUAUCAGUGCGAAGAGUCGGCAAAGAUGCCACCUGGCAGCACACGACCAACGAAGACUACUGAGGGUCACCUGGAUUGCUGGUGGUCGCACAAUACAUAACCCUGUGGACACAGGAGUGACAACUCAUUGCGUGCCAUUGAGAAGACCUAGACUGUGGGGGUCUUUCCUGGCCUAGCAGAGACCCUGUGUCUGCCCAUGUGACUACCAGGUACCCCUUGGAGAAACCAGAGGUGCAUUGGCACCAAGGUCUGCCCGGGCACUUCUGCAACAUGGACUGCCAGGCAGAGUCUCCACUGCACAGAACCCUGAGAAGCACAGUUGCUGCAAAGGGAAAACCACCAAACGACAACAUUCACCACGAGAAGAGAAGGCCCAAGAUGUUAAAAUCAACAUGGCAGCAAGACAAGGAAAAGAAAAAAGUGUAGAUAUUAAGUUUGAGCAACACAGUGGUUGAAAGAGAUGGGAUUAGCAGGAGAGUGGACACUGCUGAAGACCAAGUCAAGUGGGAUCAGAUGCAGGAGCAGCCAGUGCUCAAGCAGGAAGGCACAGAGAGGGCAAACGGUAAGGGGAGAGACUGUCUAGGUAAAGGCAGACUGCGUGUGACAAAUGGGUCCGACAUCUACAUGAGGCCCACAGGAAAAAUACAGAGCAAAGAAGAAAAUAUUUGAAGAAAUAAUAUGAAUAGAUUUCACAUAAUUAAAGAAAAAUGAAUCACCUUAGGUUGAAAGGCUCCAUUGACUACUGAUGAAGAUAUGAAAAAACUGGUAUUUAGACACAUUAUUAGAAUGAAAUAUAGGAGAAUCUGUGGAUAUUGAACACAAAAAAUUUUUGAAAAUUUCUGACAAACAAGAGCACAUCACCUACAAAGGAAGAGAUGCCAAGUUUCAUGAUAAAGUAGUAUUUUAUUUUUAAAAAAGAUGUAUAAAACUUAGAGAGAAGGGAAGGGAGGAAGAAAGAA
Molecule: long non-coding RNA, 1468 nt
Organism: Pteronotus mesoamericanus
Lineage: Eukaryota; Metazoa; Chordata; Mammalia; Chiroptera; Mormoopidae
Exons: 3
Source: RefSeq, a predicted model, not a curated record